Molecule: non-coding RNA, 3493 nt
Organism: Bemisia tabaci
Lineage: Eukaryota; Metazoa; Arthropoda; Insecta; Hemiptera; Aleyrodidae
Source: RefSeq, a predicted model, not a curated record
UAUACGUUCGACAUAAACGUUACUUUGUCAUGACACAUAAAUAAAAUAUCAAUUCAUUUUCAAAAGAGUGAGGCUCGCUCACUGGCUGUGAACAAGGAUCCCAGGCGCUUACCUAUUUUGUCUCAACAGGUUGUGGAAUGGCAUGAAAAACUCACUCGUAUUUAAUGGCGAGAAACCAAAUCUUCCUUAAACUGAAGUAUGAAAAAGAAAUAAUUCUAAUAAAACAACAUUAAUGAACCUUACCAACGGAUAAAACAACUGGAGAGAGGAGAAGGAUAAAAGUUUUACUUGCGUUCUUCCUAACCGUCCGCACGUCAACGAAAGCUUUCAGUGAAUAACAAAGGAACAAAUAAUACCAUUGGAUGAGGGACGAUGACCGUCCUGCUGAUGGGAGGGGUUAACCGGAAACGGAAAUUUCAUUUUCCACGCAUAUCCGCUUCCCCCGUUUCCGGUGCUUCCUCAAGGUCAAACAACCAUGUUUUAUUGUGUUUUAUUUACAUUUCACACCAAAAGUAGGUUCAAAUCAAAAGUAGAUUGUUCUCUCCUUCUCUUUCGAUCAAUGAGAGAAUUUCGUUUAUCUCGUUUUCUUAUGUUUUCUUGGCUCAGAAUCAGAGGUAUCCCGUUGUAAAUUGAACUUUACAACUGUCAUGCGAUCAUUGUUAUGUUCUCUUGCAAGGUGAAGUUCAGGUGAAGCCGGAUGGAGUGUUCAACUGACCCUCAGGAUUAUUUCUUGGAUAUAUCAUCCUGGAAAUAUUUGCUGCCAGCAAUCACAAAUUCUUCUUCGGGCCCAGUGACUCUCUGCAGCGGAAUUACUUAAGCCUACCUAAUGGAAGUCCUCAAGGAAAGUUUUGCUGUCAUCAUUUCCUGUAGCAAGAUACUUCUCCUAUCACAGGCCAAGAUGAAAGGAGGCAGAGGGGGAAUGACGAUAUCUUGACAAAUAUGGCAUCAGGCCAAGAGCGAUGGCUAUAGCUGUCAGUUACCAGUUGACUCUGCAACAAGGAUGGAUUUUACAACCAACGGUGAAAGAAUAAAGUAAAUUUUAAGAUAAAUUCUAAGGAAGAUGUUUGAAUUCUGAAGAUGCUGAUAACCGAAAGGAUAUACAAGAAGUAAAUCAGGAUGUACUCAAGCUAAAAUAAACCCUCAGAGUUGAUUUCCAGAAUUUCCGUUGUGUGAUUCAUCUUCCUCGUGAAAAUUUGAAGAGGAUUUAUGCUGUGCAGUGCUUCAAUUCACUCCUUGUUUAGUGACCUAUUCUCGACAAAAGCUUGUUUUACACUUCAAACCACCCAGCUGAAAGUGAGAGCAUUUUCCAUUUAAGUUUUUAACCGCCCAGCUGAUGGAUAUCGUUACAGUUUACUUACAAAUGACCAACACAGGGGAGAAAAUAUUAUAUCAUCCGAAGCUGCGGUUAUCAUGAACAAGAGAAUGUGCAGUAAAGCUUUGUUUACUCCAACUGCAACGUGCUGAAGGAAUGUCUUUUGCUGUCAUUUUGUUGGAGAAUGGUGCACUUAUAAAACGACAUGUAUGAAACAUUGGUAUCCAAUGAUGAUUGGAUUGGAAAAAACAUACGGCCAGUGGCUUUCCCUGACCAAAAAAUUAUGGACAUGGAAAUUAUUAGUCUCAUCCGACACAGAACACAAUUAACAACUAAAAUUGUUUAAGUAUUUUGGAACAGGCACCUUGCAGGAGUGGAAUACUCAUUUGCCAGAACUCUGCAAAGCGCCCUCAAUUUUGCUUGAUACCCUCAGCUUCACUCCUGUGUCAGUUUAGAUGCUAAGCCCAACCGAAUAUCUCUACAUAUCUCUAUAUAAUCUCUCUAUAUGUGCCCCCUCUUUAACUAUUUUUUUGUUAUUUUCCCCAAAUUGUUUCCAAACCAUUGACCCAUUGUCCCAUUGGUGUAUGAAGCUUAAAGUUGCUAUUUUCCAUCCUCUUAAUUAAGACAGAGCCAUAAGUUACAAAAUGUGCAUUUAGUUAAGGACACAAUAGUGAGGAAUAUAAUUUUUAAAACAUCCCACUUUUCUUCAGAAUAAUGUAAGAAAAUUCUCUCUCUAUGGCUGUCUAUGUGAAUUAUCAGAUAGUUUAUUUGAUCAUGAACUGUGGUGGAUUCAGAAAGUGGCUUUAGAAAAGUCCAUAAGGGCCUUCCUCCCCUUUUGGAACAGUAAUAAAUGCUACAAUUUGAAGAAUUUACUCCUACAAAUUGAAAUUUAUUGAAGCUCAACUCUGCAGCUUAAAUAUCAUUCUUCUUCUCCUUCUAAAAACGACUCAGGCAUAGCCCUAUUUAUCAGGCCAUUUAGUAUUUGGCACAUUAACUCAUAUAAAUAAAUAUUAUAAAACUAAAUAUUGUCGUUCAAAAUCGACAGAUUUCACACAUUUCAGUGAAUUUCUCAAGAGCAUUCGUUUCUUAAAGAAAAGGUAUUAACACAUGAAGAAAUGAGACAAAUUAAUUCAGCAGUCCUAUCUACUUACCUCCAUUAUCAUUAUCUACUCAUUUUCUAGCAGGGUGAAGAAUCAGGAUUUUUUUCUGAUCCCAUAUUUUUGUUCAGAAACGAAAUAGAUGAUGACUUUGCCAUCAUUCGUAAAAAUUCAACUCGAGACUGACAAUUCCUUUAGAGGGAGAAAGAACUUUCUGCAAAAUGUAAACAGAGGGCCGUUAAAGACAGAAAUGAAGAAACGGAUCCCAGCUCCCGCAUAAGGCACAGAUUAUUCAUAAUGUUUAAAAUAAGUGUAAAACAAUUAAUUCAUUUGUCGAGGAAUUCUUCAACAGAUAAAAUGACCAAAUAAAUAUAAAACGUUAGAUGAUUAGAUUUAUCCAGAAAUAGAGCAAAUACUGUAAAGUUAUGAGUGAGUGAAGAUUAGUCAAUAAAACUAAUUAUUUAGAAUAAGCAAAUCACUCAUUGGCUCAGAAAGAUUGUAUGCAUAAAAGCCUGUAAUAGUAUGUUUCUUUUAUUGACUAAAAAAUCUCCUUAAAGGGCGUAGCAUCUAGCAUGAUUUUGCAGUUACAGUUUUUAAAAUUGGAAUUUGUUGUAUACUAUUUUCCACGUUAAAUCAUUUGAUGAAUACCUAUUUUCUAGCCAUGGCCAUGAAAAUCAUGUAUCAGCAUUCAAAAUAUUUCUUGCUGUAUUACCCUUCCAGUCAUCUGCUUUUGCGUAGAGGACUUCUUCGUUUUUCUUAUUUUUUUUGUUAUUUUUAGCAGCUGAUGUUCAUUCAGACAUUUUAGCUCCUUUUUGAGUCAAUUUCAUCAUGCAGGCUCUCUGUUGUGUUUCUGUCUUUAAUUAGAUACCUAUUUGUUACUUUUGAAUAAAUUGUUUUGAAUAAAUCGGUGUUUGAAAUUCUUCAGAGCCUACCUCAAUCAAAUCUUCGCGUGAUCGAAAACAACUAUUGUCCUGUUAAUGUGAACGUAAAACUAAAAAAUAAAGCUUAUUAUAACCAAAAAGAAUUUUAAAGGAACUUGUAUAAUUUCAAUUUGCUUAAAUUGUUGUAUAAAUUGUGAAUUUGA